AGCAGUCGCCACGGUAAUACGUAGGGUGCAAGCGUUAAUCGGAAUUACUGGGCGUAAAGCGUGCGCAGGCGGUUAUAUAAGACAGAUGUGAAAUCCCCGGGCUCAACCUGGGAACUGCAUUUGUGACUGUAUAGCUAGAGUACGGCAGAGGGGGAUGGAAUUCCGCGUGUAGCAGUGAAAUGCGUAGAUAUGCGGAGGAACACCGAUGGCGAAGGCAAUCCCCUGGGCCUGUACUGACGCUCAUGCACGAAAGCGUGGGGAGCAAACAGGAUUAGAUACCCCGGUAGUCCCUGUCUCUUAUAC
Molecule: ribosomal RNA, 303 nt
Filed under: uncultured bacterium
Lineage: Bacteria
Description: partial 16S ribosomal RNA
Rfam family: Bacterial small subunit ribosomal RNA
Source: RNAcentral